RNAcentral lists this transfer RNA (51 nucleotides) under Cratoneuron filicinum. Its description in RNAcentral is "partial tRNA-Phe". The stretch from base 8 to 51 matches the Rfam family "tRNA", at positions 1 to 43 of the family's 71-position model. Rfam says of the family: Transfer RNA (tRNA) molecules are approximately 80 nucleotides in length. Their secondary structure includes four short double-helical elements and three loops (D, anti-codon, and T loops). Further hydrogen bonds mediate the characteristic L-shaped molecular structure. tRNAs have two regions of fundamental functional importance: the anti-codon, which is responsible for specific mRNA codon recognition, and the 3' end, to which the tRNAs corresponding amino acid is attached (by aminoacyl-tRNA synthetases). tRNAs cope with the degeneracy of the genetic code in two manners: having more than one tRNA (with a specific anti-codon) for a particular amino acid; and 'wobble' base-pairing, i.e. permitting non-standard base-pairing at the 3rd anti-codon position. Lineage: Eukaryota; Viridiplantae; Streptophyta; Bryopsida; Hypnales; Amblystegiaceae. The record is from RNAcentral.
AAAAAAAGCCGGAAUAGCUCAGUUGGUARAGCAGAGGACUGAAAAUCCUCG